GAUGAACGCUGGCGGCGUGCCUAACACAUGCAAGUCGAGCGAACAGACGAGGAGCUUGCUCGGCUGACGUGAGGGGCGGACGGGUGAGGAACACGUGUAUAACCGGCCUAGGAGACUGGGAUAACGUCGGGAAACCGGAUAUAAUACCGGAUAAGAUAGUGAACCGCAGGGUUCAAUAGAGAAAGACGGUUUUGCUGGGACUAAGUGGGGGUUCCGAGCCGGUUUAGCAAGUUGGUAAGGUAACGGCUUACCAAGGCGACGAUGCGUGGCCGACCUGGGAGGGUGAUCCGCCCCACUGGAACUGAGACACCGUCCAGACUCCUACGGGAGGCAGCAGUAGGGAAUCGUCCGCAAAGGGCGAAAGCCUGACGCAGCCACGCCGCGUGAGUGAUGAAAGUCCUCGGAUCGUAAAACUCUGUUAUUAGGGAAGAACAAAUGUGUAAGUAACUAUGCACUUCUUGACGGUAACUAAUAAGAAAGCCACGGCUAACUACGUG
Molecule: ribosomal RNA, 497 nt
Filed under: uncultured bacterium
Lineage: Bacteria
Description: partial 16S ribosomal RNA
Rfam family: Bacterial small subunit ribosomal RNA
Source: RNAcentral